RNAcentral lists this unclassified non-coding RNA (1670 nucleotides) under Hevea brasiliensis (rubber tree). The record is from RNAcentral. Lineage: Eukaryota; Viridiplantae; Streptophyta; Magnoliopsida; Malpighiales; Euphorbiaceae.
AAAAAAAGAAAAAAAAAACUGCUUUAUUUCUGUUCCGAUUCAUUUUGUUCACUCAUAUAAGCCAAUAAAUCCAUUGCUUCGAGUAUGACAUUAAUAAUUCUCAGCAAUUUGUGUGGUGAACCAUAGCCUUCAAUAGAGUUAUCUUAGCCAGUAAUUCAGGACAAACUCCUAGUCUGUGAUGAUCGAAGUAAUUUUACAUUGCAUGUUGAUGAGUUUGAUGACAUCUAACUUACAAGGUCAGAAUAAUUGUAAAAACAAUAUUUGUGAUAGACAGGAGCUUUAGAAGAUUUUUUAGCAAACAGAACAGGUGCCAACCCAUAUAAGACAAAAACUAUCUACGACGCAAAAAUUCAGAGAAUUUUUAAGGCAGCCUGUGCAUCCUCAAAUUGCUGCCUCCUGAAUGAAAAUUUUACUUUAUUAAGCCACUUUUCUUUUAGAGCCAAGAAAGAACUCUUCCCCCUCAACUUAUCUUCUCCUUUUUCUUUAUAAAAUCUGAAUAUCAAAUAGCGGAAUUAAAUGCAAGAAAUUUUCUCUGUACAGAAAUAUAUGCCUCUCAAACCCUGCAAGCCUACAAUUGAUUUUCAAUCAACUCUGUGGCCACCCAUGAAUUUCCUAUUAAAGAAUGAACUAGUUUCCAAAGUUAUCUUGGUCAAUACACCUCAGUAGUUUGUGUUGCAUCAACUCAGUUUUGUCUUUACUAUGACAACAUAUAUUGAAUAUGAUAUGCCCUCUUUUUUGGAAUUUGUCAAUGCUCAAGAAGCUUCCCAAAUAGAAAUAAGUUAACCUCAAAGUAGUAAGAUUGUUCCAACUCAACUUUCAUCACUAGGGUCAUCUUUUUUGACCAGCCCAAUCAUAGGACUUCACAUAAAGUAAAUUCCUUUUCUGUUGACCUUUCAUCUAUUUCUAUCUUUUUGCAUAUAUGUAACCACACUAUAUGACAAGCUAUGAGAUUUGGAGGAAGUCUAUGAUUUCCAAUCUUGGGCAUUCCUGACAGAACUAGUACCCAAGACGUGACAUCAGUAGAGAAUGGAACACAAUCACUCUAUAUGUAGGUAACAACAUAGAUGUUAAGAUAUUGGGAUUUCUAAUUGGAAAUUUUGAAGCUGAAAAACAGAAACUUUCUGAUCAAGGAAGGCAAUUUCAUUUCAGUUGAUUUUCCCUUACAAUACAUUAAUUAAGUGUAAAUUUUUUAUUCCUCAGAGGCAGGACAUUGGUUUACCUGCUGUUUUAAUCAAUAUUUUGCAGAUUGCUUUAUCUUCCUGGUGCUAUUAUUGCUGGUUUACUUGGUUUCAUGCUCGACUUUCCGCUUAUUUCACUUAUUGCCCUCUGCAAAAGUCCGUACAUGCUCUUUAAGGGAUGGCAUCGUCUGUUUCAUGAUCUUAUAGGAAGGGAAGGCCCUUUCUUGGAGACAAUAUGUGUGCCAUUUGCAGGUCUUGCUAUUCUUCUUUGGCCAUUGGCUGUUGUUGGGGCAGUUUUGGGCUCCAUGUUAUCCAGUAUCUUCAUUGGUGCUUAUGCAGGAGUGGUAGUUUAUCAGGUCAAAAAUCUUAUUUUCAUAGUGGUUUUAGUUUGUUUGCUGCAUUUCUUUUAUCUUUUUAGUUUCUAGGUGUGACUGGGCUUUGGGCUCUGGAUUGCAGGAAUCCUCAUUUUGGUUUGGGCUUUGCUAUAUUGUU